GGCGGUGUAGCUCAGUUGGUGAGAGCGCACGACUCAUAAUCGUGAGGUCGAGAGUUCGAAUCUCUCCAUCGCUACCA
Molecule: transfer RNA, 77 nt
Filed under: Corynebacterium uropygiale
Lineage: Bacteria; Bacillati; Actinomycetota; Actinomycetes; Mycobacteriales; Corynebacteriaceae
Description: tRNA-Met
Rfam family: tRNA
About the family: Transfer RNA (tRNA) molecules are approximately 80 nucleotides in length. Their secondary structure includes four short double-helical elements and three loops (D, anti-codon, and T loops).
Source: RNAcentral